CUUUACUGUAGCCUGGUAUUGGGUUCGGGCUUUGACUGCGCAGGAUAGGUGGGAGACUAUGAAGCAAUCCUUGUGGGGGUUGCUGAGUCAACGGUGAGAUACCACUCUGUCAGAGCUAGAAUUCUAACUAAAUGCCGUUAUCCGGCUUUGGAACCGUAUCAGGUGGGCAGUUUGACUGGGGCGGUCGCCUCCUAAAAGGUAACGGAGGCGCGCAAAGGUUCCCUCCGGCUGGUUGGAAAUCAGCCCGUGAAGUGCAAAGGCAUAAGGGAGCUUGACUGCAAGAGCUACAACUCGAGCAGGGUGGAAACACGGCCUUAGUGAUCCGACGGCGCUGAGUGGAAGGGCCGUCGCUCAACGGAUAAAAGUUA
RNAcentral lists this ribosomal RNA (368 nucleotides) under uncultured organism. RNAcentral describes it as "bacterial LSU rRNA". It matches the Rfam family "Bacterial large subunit ribosomal RNA", at positions 2099 to 2465 of the family's 2925-position model. The record is from RNAcentral.